UGGUGGCCACUGAGAGCCGACAACAUUCCAUAGACUCCUACCCCAGCCUCCUUGAGCAGCAUGGGCCUGCCUUCUAGAACUCUCUGCAAGCUCUGAUACCCCCUCACCCACACCAGGGCUGGCUGGUGACCUUCAUCUGAUCCAUCAAGUCCCUCCUUAUGACUGUUGCUUCCGCAGCUCCUCUCACAGUCGGCGAGGUCUGACUCCUGUAACCCGUCCCUUAUUCCAUCGUGCUUAGAAGUGAUUCUGCCUCCCUGAAUGAUAUAGCACCCCACCUCUCCAGGCCUCAGUUUCUCUCCCACAUAAAAUGGGGAUGGGGUGAGAUAUACCAGCCCCAGGAAGGGGCUGCCUCCAGGUGCUAAGGGUUGUGAGCCUGGGAUUGAUUCUGGCAGGUAUGUUUUCAUACUCAGAGGACAAGCUUUAGGCCAGAAUCGUGACUCAGUCGGGCUUUUCAUCUUGGCACCAGUGGUAGGAGCCCCACAGAGCAGGGCCCAUGUGAGGUCAGCAGACAUAUUUAUGCUGGUGGUGGAAGGCAGGGGGCAUCCUUCUGAUGGUCUGAUGGGUUCUAUGACACGGUGGGUGCUGGACUGAGUGGUUAAAGCCUUUCCUGGUGAGAUGCUGCUCUCUCAGUCCAGAACGCAACUCCAGAUGGCCACCUCAUUCCCCUGGGAAGCCAGUGUGAGCUGAGUUAGAAGGCUUCUGGGAAGAUGCCGAGAAGAGCAAGAAUGUCUCCUUGGGACCAAGACCUGCUCUGCUGACUUGCUGGGCUGGGCAGCAUCCUGAAGGAUACCUGCUGGAUCUUCCUGCAACGGAGGAGAGAAGAUCCCUGUUUUUACAGAAUGCCUGUGACUGAAGGGGCCAAGGCCCUGGAGGAGGGGGUCCAGAAGCCCGUGCACCGCAUUGUGCAGCUAGCACCAGUUCUCCGGGUGAGGCUGGGAUGGCGGGCAUCACACUCCCUGGCUUCUGUGUUUCUCCCAGAGUCCCCAUGACCACUGCUUCACAAACGCAAGGGAGGGUGUGCAGGGCUUGGGCACAGGGAGGGUUUGUCGGGGAACCUUGGUAGCAGGACUGCGGGGAUGAGUCAGGGUCCCUCGGGGAGGAGGAGGGGAGUCACCUGCAUCCCUGGCCCAUCUGCCAUGGAGGCUCCAGCCCAUGGAGGCUGAGCGCACCCCGGCCCAGUACAGAAUCUGGGGGUAUCACGAUAGCCUGAAACACUGUUUCCAAGAGUAUAACGUAGAAAAGAAAGCUUUCUACCCAAAUUGGAAACCAAAAGGCACUGGUACUUUGUAGGGUCACCCCAGUGACUUGGAAUGCUCUGUGGGAGACCUUGUUCUUGGUGACACCACAAGUGACCAGCCUCUGUAACCCCAAUAACACAUGCUUGGACCUGCCAGGCCCUGUGGGCCAAGCCGGGGUAGAACCUGGUUCUUACCCAGACAUUUGGUAACUCUUGGAAGAUGGGAUUUUCUUCUUCAGCUGAUUUGAUGGUUAACUUAUCAUGUGUGGAAUUGGUAGCUUUUGAGGGAGACCUAUAUCUGAGGCACUAUGUGUGGAGGCAGCAGGGUUUCUUCCCCCACACAGGUGUUCUUUUUUUUGUGUGUGUGUCC
RNAcentral lists this long non-coding RNA (1607 nucleotides) under Sus scrofa (pig). Its description in RNAcentral is "lncRNA (ENSSSCG00030004302.1, ENSSSCG00150011768.1)". The record is from RNAcentral. Lineage: Eukaryota; Metazoa; Chordata; Mammalia; Artiodactyla; Suidae.